CAGCCUCUGCAUACAAAAUUAGGGUUUCAUGAUUCCUUAGUCUUUUUUCCAAUUUUCAAUGCGCUUCUCUAUCUGGUCGAUGUGGAUUAACUCGACUCCCAUUCGACUCGUUCCCUUGAAGCAAUAGCGAUUUGUGUUGUUCUUUUUAUAUCUCUUCCGCAAUCCCUUUGUUUGUGGAGAACUUUGGAGCAACUAAAUCAAAUUUUC
RNAcentral lists this long non-coding RNA (207 nucleotides) under Glycine max (soybean). RNAcentral's name for it is "long non-coding RNA (GMAX_LNC000445)". Lineage: Eukaryota; Viridiplantae; Streptophyta; Magnoliopsida; Fabales; Fabaceae. The record is from RNAcentral.